RNAcentral lists this transfer RNA (71 nucleotides) under Bos taurus (domestic cattle). It matches the Rfam family "tRNA". Rfam says of the family: Transfer RNA (tRNA) molecules are approximately 80 nucleotides in length. Their secondary structure includes four short double-helical elements and three loops (D, anti-codon, and T loops). The record is from Rfam by way of RNAcentral. Lineage: Eukaryota; Metazoa; Chordata; Mammalia; Artiodactyla; Bovidae.
UCCCAGCUGGCUCAAUGGUAAAGAAUCUGCCUGCAAUGCAGGAGACUCAGGUUCAGUUCCUGGGUCACGAA